RNAcentral lists this unclassified non-coding RNA (547 nucleotides) under Hevea brasiliensis (rubber tree). Lineage: Eukaryota; Viridiplantae; Streptophyta; Magnoliopsida; Malpighiales; Euphorbiaceae. The record is from RNAcentral.
UAAUAAUAAUAAUAAUAAUAGAAACUCUAGACUUCCUAAUUCCACAACAACUAUAAUUGCUAAAUUUAAUCCUCUUCCAAUACUGCAAAAGUACUUCACCUAAAUAUUACACCCACAAUCUAAAAAUAUAACCAUCAAAUGAAUUUUUAAUUACAGAAAUGCCAGAUAUCUCAAGCUACUUUAUUUUCAAGUUCUUGCAAAUCUCCUCCUGGGCUUUAACAAGAAGUAGCAAAAUGAUGAUAGGGCAAUAAAUAGGUCCUAGGAAUAGGAUAGGUUAGAUUCUUGCCAAUAAAUAGGUUAUGGUGGAUCAAUUAUAAGAAACUUAGAAGAAAACAUGAAUAAAUUGAUCAUGAGCAAAAAAAUACUAGAAAAACAGAAUCUACAAAUUAGAUAGGAAAUUUAACAAUAACGAUCAAUAGGUAAAAAAGUACUAUAAAUAAAUUAAAAAGGGAAGGGAAGAAAUGAAAGGAAGAGAAGGGUGAAAAUGAAUUUUGAAGGGGGACAAUAGAAUGGAUUAGUCAAAAACCUCUAAAGCCUUGAGUACAUG